GUCACUUUCGCUUCUUCCCUGCUAAAAGAGGUUUACAACCCGAAGGCCUUCAUCCCCCACGCGGCGUUGCUGCAUCAGGCUUGCGCCCAUUGUGCAAUAUUCCCCACUGCUGCCU
Molecule: ribosomal RNA, 115 nt
Filed under: uncultured bacterium
Lineage: Bacteria
Description: partial 16S ribosomal RNA
Source: RNAcentral